Molecule: ribosomal RNA, 372 nt
Filed under: uncultured organism
Description: partial 16S ribosomal RNA
Rfam family: Bacterial small subunit ribosomal RNA
Source: RNAcentral
GUAGGUGGCAAGCGUUGUCCGGAAUUAUUGGGCGUAAAGCGCGCGCAGGCGGUUCUUUAAGUCUGAUGUGAAAGCCCACGGCUCAACCGUGGAGGGUCAUUGGAAACUGGAGAACUUGAGUACAGAAGAGGAAGGCGGAAUUCCACGUGUAGCGGUGAAAUGCGUAGAGACGUGGAGGAACACCAGUGGCGAAGGCGGCUUUCUGGUCUGUAACUGACGCUGAGGCGCGAAAGCGUGGGGAGCAAACAGGGAUUAGAUACCCUGGUAGUCCACGCCGUAAACGAUGAGUGCUAAGUGUUAGGGGGUUUCCCGCCCCUUAGUGCUGCAGCUAACGCAUUAAGCACUCCGCCUGGGGAUACGGCCGCAAGGCUA